UAGAUAUUGGAGAAACCCAAAAUUAAACUGAUGUAAUCUGUUAUGUAACAUUUUUGUGGGCUUUGUGUAGAUAUGACUUUUGAGGUCAGAGGCCUUAAUCUUUGCCUUCACCAACCUGUGUCUGUCUGUCUGUGUGCCUGUAUGCUUGCCUCCAUGUCUUGUGUGCCAGUCUGUGUGCAUGCCCCACUCUGUAUAUGUCUGUGUAUCUGUCUGUCUGUUUUUUCCUGGAUAUCUGCUGGCAUCUGCUCCUCACUGUCUCUUUAGCUUCCCAGCCACCUUCCUUUUCUAGGGCUGGAGUUAGAAAUAGUACCCCGACUCAGGGUUACUAUCCCUGCUGAGACUUCUUCUGCAGGGGCCACAGAUGUGGAGCCUUUGGGCUAAACCAGAGGUUCUCAGUCCAACCGGAAACACAGGAGGAACUCUAGAACAUUUGUGCCUUGGAAAGCCUUCUGUUUGAGAAGCCUAAGGCACCGACUGCUUCACAAGGUCUCCAGAAACUUCUAACCUCCAGCUAGCCAGAGACUUUACUGAAGACCGAAGUUGGGAAAAUGACGUGUAACAAAUCCAGCUGCAAAUACUACAGUGAAGGAUAAGCUCGCUCCGAAGCUAGAAACUCAGCCCCACACUCACUUACCUUUGCUCAGAAGCCGGCCGGUGCAGGAGUCCUGCAAAUUCCUACGAGCUCAACAAUAUUGUCAAAGGGAGCUCCGGGCAGACAGUCAGCAUUUAAUAGCCUUGUGACCUCCAGCAAAGAGCCAAUUCUCUCUGUUCUUCCCAUCCACGCUGUUUUCUCAUCUAUGAGGUGCCAGUCCUUCUAUGGGCAAGGAUUUCAAUGGGAAUUGUCACCAACUGGGAAAGAGUGGACACAACUGUACAACAAUGGGAGUUGAGCACAGGGUGCUGCGCAAUAAAUGUCACAAACUUCCAGUUGGCACAAGGGAAACGGAAAAAGAAUAAACAGCGCUUACUCUGCUUCGGACCUCAAAUGCUACCUAAAAUCUACCUACACUCCAUCAGUCUCAAUGACUCAUGUUAAAAUCCCUGCUAAUUGUGUGAAAAUAUUACCUGCUGACCAUCAGAGAAGCAACCCCAAAGUGUGAUGGCCUGUUUGCAGAGCAUCAUGCCUGGAGCUGAGCCUGGCAUAGGUUCAUCAUCUCAGUCCUAGUUUUGGAGAUGGGAAAGCCAUGGUUUGGUGGACUCCAGCAUGUAUGUGGCAGAACUGGGGUGUAGAAUGAAGACUACUCUACCCAGAGGAUUCAUGAUAAUGGAGCAAUGAGACAGAAUGCUAUCAUUGGAGGAGGGAGGAUCUGGAGACCUCAGAUCAGCAGAAGGACAUGUGCCUGGAUGGUUCAGCUUGGGAAGUGGAAAUAGCAAGGUGACACUCAGAGAAACAAACAAGGAGAAGCCACAGAGGCCCCUCGCCUCCCCCUCCUCUUUUCUCCUUU
Long non-coding RNA from Mus musculus (house mouse), 1445 nucleotides. RefSeq annotates it as predicted gene, 29906. The transcript is spliced from 6 exons. The record is from RefSeq and is a predicted model, not a curated record. NCBI's taxonomy places the organism in Eukaryota, Metazoa, Chordata, Mammalia, Rodentia, Muridae.